This is a long non-coding RNA of Bubalus bubalis (water buffalo), 1667 nucleotides long. RefSeq lists it as uncharacterized. The record is from RefSeq and is a predicted model, not a curated record. The transcript is spliced from 2 exons. Lineage: Eukaryota; Metazoa; Chordata; Mammalia; Artiodactyla; Bovidae.
UGUCAACAAACCACAUAUGCCAAACAAGGAAGCAAAACCAACUGAAGGGGUCUCAGCUUUCCAGUGUGCAAAAGUUGAAGGUUAACAGGGGAAGAAAGCUUACAGGAACUUCAUUAACAAGGGAUUAAACAGUUUACUGGACACAAGGUACUUGCAACCUCAAAUAAAGCAGCGCAGAAACACAGCACAGGAAGAGCUGGCAGGCAGCUGAGUUUUCUCUGAAAAGAUACCUGGACCAGAAAGUGUUGGUUCUACCCUAUCUGCCAGAUACUCACCUAAAUCCAGUUAGGGUAGCAGCAUACAGAAUAAAUAGAACCUGAGGAAGAUGAAUAAAUUAUGUUUUCUCAGUAUAUUGUAAUUCACCUUUAUAAUGAGAAAUUUUUGUGACUCACUGAAAGUGGGAGUUGGACAGUUAGAAUUUUUUUUCCUAGCCACACUGGGUCUUUAUUGCUAUGUGGACUUUAUCUAGUUUCAGUGAAUGGGAGCUACUCUUCCUUGUGGUGUGAGGGCUUCUCAUUGUGAUGAUUUCUCUUGUUGCAGAGCACAGGUUCUAGACCUUGAGCUCAAGGGUCAUGGUGCAUGGGCUUUUGACCAUGGUGAGUGGGAUCUUCCCAGACCGGGGAUUAAACCUGUGUCCCCUGCAUUAGCAGGUGGAUUCUUAACCACUGGAUCACCAGGGAAGUCCAGAAAGUUAGGAUUUAUUGAUGUUUCUCAGGGGUGUAUGUAUUGAAUGCAUUCUAUAUUGUAGGGACUGUUUUAAAUAAUUUAAUGUUUCACCAAUCAGCAUCUUCCCUCUCUUUUUCUGGGACCUGUGUUAGCUUUCACCAGGUUAUUGCGUUUCCCAGGUGGCUCAGUGGUAAAGAAUCUGCCUGCCAAUCUUGGAGAUGCAAGAGACUCAGGUUCAGUUCCUCAGUAGAGAAGAUCCCCCAGAGGAGGGCAUGGCACUCCACUCCAGUAUUCUUGCCUGGAGAGUUCCAUGGACAGAGGAGCCUGGCGGGCUACAGUCCAUGGGGUUUCAAAAGACUUGGACACAAGUUAGUGACUAAACGACAACAACAAUACAAUUUACCACACUUUUCUUCUAUUGUCCUGCUUCCCUGGUAGCUCAGCUGGUAAAGAAUCCACCUGCAAUGUGGGAGAUCUGGGUUUGAGCCCUGGGUUGGGAAGAUCCCCUGGAGAAGGGAAAGGGAAUCUUUCCAGUAUUGUGGCCUGGAGAAUUCAUGUCGCAAUGAGUUGGACACAACUGAGCGACUUUCACUUUAUUCUAUUGUCUUAAGCCCUGUAGAUCCUGUGGGAAAAUUGCAUGUUUUUUCAAGUUCCCAAUCCUUUGGCCACAAUUGAUUUCUUCAGGCUUGAGGGUAUAACCCAAAUAUUUUCUAAUAGGAAGUAAGAAUGAAAGGGGGAAAAAGUAGACUCUCCAAUAGCCAACUUCUAAAAUGUAAAACCUGGGAGUUUUCAGUGACCAUGUUCCUCAUCAUGUGGAGGAAACUAGCCUACAGUUGCAGGGGAGAGAGCUAACAGAGUAAAGCUGAACAGGGACAAAGAGGAAAGUAUUAUGGGUUGGUUGUUCAGUCACUCCUUGGAUUCUGUGAAUCAUGAAGUUUUCCUCUGUGUCUAAGCUAAAGCUGAAUUUGUUUCUGUUAUUUGUAAUGAAAUGAUGAUUCAUG